CCUCCUCUAGAUCAGAUCUGAGAGAAAAGAGAGGUUUUAGAGAGAGAAGAAAAGAUUGAGAAGGAUUCUUGUUCUUUCUUGGUGAUCAGGUUCAAUCUCCAGAAACCUGCCAACGACUGCUUCAACUAAUAGAAGGAAAAGGGCCCAGAUCUAAGCCGAAGAACGAAGCCUAUAAGGAUGCUAGCACACUAAUGGAUUUGGAGUUCUGAUCGAGAUCAUCUCUGUAUGGAUACCAGCA
RNAcentral lists this long non-coding RNA (238 nucleotides) under Elaeis guineensis (African oil palm). RNAcentral's name for it is "long non-coding RNA (EGUI_LNC053689)". Lineage: Eukaryota; Viridiplantae; Streptophyta; Magnoliopsida; Arecales; Arecaceae. The record is from RNAcentral.